Non-coding RNA from Cinara cedri, 401 nucleotides. The record is from the annotation of a GenBank genome assembly. Lineage: Eukaryota; Metazoa; Arthropoda; Insecta; Hemiptera; Aphididae.
CCGGGAAUUAAUUCCGUACAAUCCCUACAGUGGUCGUGUUCCGAGUUUCGAUCGGGCACUACCCCCGUGCAGGGUUUACUCUGUACACGCGGCCAGUUUUUUUCGUGCGCCGCGCCGGCACGCUGCUCUCGGGAAUCGGUUACGCGUCCGUCGGAAAUUAUUGCGCGCGUGACGUCACUGUCAUUCGUCUAUAUCGGCCGUUUAUGGCAAUGGUAUUAACGUAAUAGCAUAAUGAUUUCUUCGUUCGUCACGUAUACGCCGUCGCCGUGUAUGACUUACCAUACUACUUCGGAUAUACGUACGUGAUUCACGUUGUCGGUUUUAAGAGAGAGAGAGAGAAAGAGAGAAAAUGGUAUUUUUCUGCGUAAACGUUCGUAAAACGUUAUUCAACAUAUUAUUAU